Molecule: long non-coding RNA, 1045 nt
Organism: Vicia villosa (hairy vetch)
Lineage: Eukaryota; Viridiplantae; Streptophyta; Magnoliopsida; Fabales; Fabaceae
Exons: 3
Source: RefSeq, a predicted model, not a curated record
UUCAUUGUUCUCUCUCAUCUUUUCCAUCUUUUCACACUCUCUCACCGAUCCACAAUCCCACUAUAACUCUAACCUCCAUUUCAUAUUAAACCCCAUCCGCGACCCUCUUCAUAUCUUCCUCAUUGCCGUAACUUCAACACAUCUCACCCGAUACACCUCCAUCCCAAACCUCCGCCUUACAUCCUUGCCACCACCUCCAUAUUCUGUUCUGAAACCAUCACCGCUUACCUCCCUGUACUAACAAAAACCCCUUUGUUUCAUACUUCCUCUCGUCUCACCGUCCAAAUCCCUAGCUUCAUUAACAUUCAACACCUUUCAACGUUUCAGCGACACUCACUUUCAACUUUCUCUUCGGCAACACCAUCCUAAGCCAACGUCAACAAUCUCUCCACAAACAGCAAUUGCAAGCCAACCGUGUUCUAUUUUCGGAUUCCCUCUAUUUCCAACACCAACAGCUUCUGACUUCGACGAACGUUUGGGAUAUGGAUAGGGUUUUCUGCACCCCCUUCUCUCUCUACCUCUUUCUCUCUCCACUUUUCGAUUAUCAAUGGAUAGGUACCAGAAGGUUCAGAAACCCAAACUAGACUCCCCCAUCAACGAAAAUGAGAUCCGUAUCACCACUCAAGGUGCCAUUCGUAACUACAUCACUUAUGCCACCUCGCCUCUUCAGGUGUGGAUGUAACUCCUGCUAUGAGUGUGGGAAGCAUUGGAAGCAUGGACAUUUGUGCAAUAGACGCACUAGACUCCCUAGAUAUAGAUCGUGAUAUUCGUGCAAUGCAGGGUUUUGCACAAAAGGAUGCAUAAUCAAUGAAGAGUGAAAAGUUGUUUCAAUCUCAAGGAAGUCCUAAACAAUGCAGGGUUUUGCACCAUUUUUAGUGUGUAUAAUAUAUGAGGUGUGGCUCCAACUAUUUGUAACUAUUUAAUGCUAAAGUUGUACACCUACUGCUUAGUCUAUCGAUUUAGUUGCUUAGAUCUGAUUUACUUAUUGUUAUGAUGUAAUAUGAAUUGGUUUAGUUGUUUUGGUUUAGAAAUAUGUAUAUAUGUA